This 123-nucleotide small nucleolar RNA is filed under the name Dasypus novemcinctus (nine-banded armadillo). Its description in RNAcentral is "Small nucleolar RNA SNORA31 (ENSDNOG00000027883.1)". It matches the Rfam family "Small nucleolar RNA SNORA31". Rfam says of the family: ACA31 (SNORA31) belongs to the H/ACA class of snoRNAs which are thought to guide the sites of modification of uridines to pseudouridines. ACA31 is predicted to guide the pseudouridylation of U3713 in 28S rRNA and U218 in 18S rRNA. This family includes the mouse homologue snoMBI-161. The record is from RNAcentral. Lineage: Eukaryota; Metazoa; Chordata; Mammalia; Cingulata; Dasypodidae.
CUGCAUCUACUGAUAGACCUUGAACAAAUUGUUGUUCUUUUGGUUUGCACUAGGAUGCAGAAGAAAAAACUCCCUGCACUUUCUGCCUUUGUGGCAGCCCAGAUUGAAUAGGGGAAUAUAUAU